RNAcentral lists this transfer RNA (76 nucleotides) under Longicatena caecimuris. RNAcentral's name for it is "tRNA-Arg". It matches the Rfam family "tRNA". Rfam says of the family: Transfer RNA (tRNA) molecules are approximately 80 nucleotides in length. The record is from RNAcentral. Lineage: Bacteria; Bacillati; Bacillota; Erysipelotrichia; Erysipelotrichales; Erysipelotrichaceae. RNAcentral also lists the same sequence under 1 other name.
ACCCUUGUAGCUCAGCGAAUAGAGCAGUCGUCUCCUAAACGACAGGUCGCGGGUUUAAAUCCCGCCUUGGGUGCCA